RNAcentral lists this long non-coding RNA (800 nucleotides) under Pan troglodytes (chimpanzee). Its description in RNAcentral is "long non-coding RNA NONPTRT000403". Lineage: Eukaryota; Metazoa; Chordata; Mammalia; Primates; Hominidae. The record is from RNAcentral.
GGCUCAGCAGGGAGCUGCUGGAUGAGAAAGGGCCUGAAGUGUUGCAGGACUCACUGGAUAGAUGUUAUUCGACUCCUUCAGGUUAUCUUGAAUUGCCUGACUUAGGCCAGCCCUACAGCAGUGCUGUUUACUCAUUGGAGGAACAGUACCUUGGCUUGGCUCUUGACGUGGACAGAAUUAAAAAUGACCAAGAAGAGGAAGAAGACCAAGGCCCACCAUGCCCCAGGUAACUGAGCAAUUGUGAACAGCUACUUCUGUGUUGACAUCUGGAGACUCCUGGUUCAGGGAAAACAGAGCGGGCUGAUGUUAUCGAUUACAUCUUUUCAACCAAGCCUGAAUUAUUCCUAGUAACAUUGCUGUUGGUUUUCAUUGCAGUAGAUAUUUAGGUUUCCAUUUCUUCCUCCCCUUAUCAUUUACUAACCUACUGUAGGUGGACCAGACUUCAAAAACUGUAUUCUCAUGGUGACUGCAUGGGAACUUGAGCACAUUUUAUGGAAAAUUAUUGAGCACAGUCUUUUCAUGAUCACUGUAUGCUGUGUGUCCUGAGGGCACUAACUCAGAGUGUCCUGUUACUCCCUCAUCAGUGUGUCACCUGGACAAUUCACUGAGCUCGUUCUCUCUCUCUGUGUGUGUGUGUCUGUGUGUGUGUGUGUGUGUGUCUAUCUGUCUUUCUCUUUCAUUCUUUUCCAUUUGGCCCUGUUCUGUCCCAACAUGAAGGCAAUAAUUUGUUACCUCAUUAAUGGAUCUAUCCUUUUACUUUUUUAACCACUUCCUUAUGCUACCCAUGAAACCUAGUUGGG